Molecule: ribosomal RNA, 497 nt
Filed under: uncultured bacterium
Lineage: Bacteria
Description: partial 16S ribosomal RNA
Rfam family: Bacterial small subunit ribosomal RNA
Source: RNAcentral
GAUGAACGCUGGCGGCGUGCCUAAUACAUGCAAGUCGAGCGAACAGACGAGGAGCUUGCUCCUCUGACGUUAGCGGCGGACGGGUGAGUAACCCGUGGAUAACCUACCUAUAAGACUGGGAUAACUUCGGGAAACCGGAGCUAAUACCGGAUAAUAUAUUGAACCGCAUGGUUCAAUAGUGAAAGACGGUUUUGCUGUCACUUAUAGAUGGCUCCGCGCCGCAUUAGCUAGUUGGUAAGGUAACGGCUUACCAAGGCAACGAUGCGUAGCCGACCUGAGAGAGUGAUAGGCCACACUGGAACUGAGACACGGUCCAGACUCCUACGGGAGGCAGCAGUAGGGAAUCUUCCGCAAUGGGCGAAAGCCUGACGGAGCAACGCCGCGUGAGUGAUGAAGGUCUUCGGAUCGGAAAACUCUGUUAUUAGGGAAGAACAAAUGUGUAAGUAACUAUGCACGUCUUGACGGUACCUAAUCAGAAAGCCACGGCUAACUACGUG